CAGGUUGAAAUACUGGUUCUCAUAUGAUCGCUGAAGUUAAGCAACAUUGAACUUGGUCAGUACCUAGAUGGGUAACCACUUGGGAAU
Acanthosepion pharaonis is the source of this 87-nucleotide non-coding RNA. The record is from the annotation of a GenBank genome assembly. NCBI's taxonomy places the organism in Eukaryota, Metazoa, Mollusca, Cephalopoda, Sepiida, Sepiidae.